GUUGCCGUUUGAAACUACGUUAACGUGUGGAGAUGAAUCAUAUUCCUAUGUAUACGAUUACCAAACGAAGAUUAGAAAAGCAGAGGAGGAAGAACAUUUCCACACUGUUUGUUUACAGAAAGUGAUUUGUCUUGAAUAAUUCCCAAAAGUAAAUUCAGGUUUACUGACGGGCAUUUUAUUGUUCAGACAUUCUUACAUUCAACCUAAUAAUACAAGGGCCAUAAUAAGGGGAAAACUAAGAGCAGACGUCCAUAAGAUUGGAUUGAGAUCGUUAAAGAUGCACCCAAACUAAGAUCCAAAGAUUCUUUUGCAAUAGCGUCCACAUAAUUUCAGCAUUUGCAACAUUUGAAAUCAUUUUGUAUGCAACAGGUUCAUAAAUUUGUUUGACAAAAUUGUGAAACUGAAAUUAAAAAUUCACAACCUAAUAUUCUAAUUUAUAUAACACAAUAACAAUGCAAAAAACACUAAUUAUAACAUGUUUACAUUGUAAUCAUGUAAUUAA
Non-coding RNA from Onthophagus taurus, 502 nucleotides. Lineage: Eukaryota; Metazoa; Arthropoda; Insecta; Coleoptera; Scarabaeidae. The record is from RefSeq and is a predicted model, not a curated record.